ANAUAAGCCUGCAUGUCUAAGUAUAAGCAAUUAUACCGCGAAACUGCGAAUGGCUCAUUAUAUAAGUUAUCGUUUAUUUGAUAGCACAUUACUACAUGGAUAACUGUGGUAAUUCUAGAGCUAAUACAUGCUAAAAAUCCCGACUUCGGAAGGGAUGUAUUUAUUAGAUUAAAAGCCAACGCCCUUCGGGGCUUCCUGGUGAUUCAUGAUAACUUUUCGAAUCGCAUGGCCUUGCGCCGGCGAUGGUUCAUUCAAAUUUCUUCCCUAUCAACUUUCGACACGAAGGUCUUGUCUUCGCAUGGUUGCAACGGGUAACGGAGGGUUAGGGCUCGACCCCGGAGAAGGAGCCUGAGAAACGGCUACUACAUCCAAGGAAGGCAGCAGGCGCGCAAAUUACCCAAUCCCGACACGGGGAGGUAGUGACAAUAAAUACUGAUACAGGGCUCUUUUGGGUCUUGUAAUCGGAAUGAGUACAAUUUAAAUCCCUUAACGAGGAACAAUUGGAGGGCAAGUCUGGUGCCAGCAGCCGCGGUAAUUCCAGCUCCAAUAGCGUAUAUUAAAGUUGUUGUGGUUAAAAAGCUCGUAGUUGAACCUUGGGCCUGGCUGGCCGGUCCCCCUCACCGGGUGCACUGAUCCAGCCGGGCCUUUCCCUCUGUGGAACCCCAUGGCCUUCACUGGCUGUGGCGGGGAAACAGGACUUUUACUUUGAAAAAUUAGAGUGCUCCAGGCAGGCCUAUGCUCGAAUACAUUAGCAUGGAAUAAUAGAAUAGGACGUGUGGUUCUAUUUU
RNAcentral lists this ribosomal RNA (788 nucleotides) under uncultured eukaryote. RNAcentral's name for it is "SSU rRNA". It matches the Rfam family "Eukaryotic small subunit ribosomal RNA", at positions 42 to 843 of the family's 1831-position model. The record is from RNAcentral.